UACACAAAGCAUGUGAUGAGCAAGCACUGAAACUGACUCCCUGUGAAGUCCAGUCAAUCCAAUGCUGAGCUUUGUGUC
Molecule: small nucleolar RNA, 78 nt
Filed under: Buceros rhinoceros silvestris
Lineage: Eukaryota; Metazoa; Chordata; Aves; Bucerotiformes; Bucerotidae
Description: Small nucleolar RNA SNORD69
Rfam family: Small nucleolar RNA SNORD69
About the family: snoRNA HBII-210 belongs to the C/D family of snoRNAs. It is the human orthologue of the mouse MBII-210 and is predicted to guide the 2'O-ribose methylation of large 28S rRNA on residue G4464.
Source: Rfam by way of RNAcentral